Molecule: ribosomal RNA, 465 nt
Filed under: uncultured bacterium
Lineage: Bacteria
Description: partial 16S ribosomal RNA
Rfam family: Bacterial small subunit ribosomal RNA
Source: RNAcentral
GACGAACGCUGGCGGCGUGCUUAACACAUGCAAGUCGAACGGAAAGGCCCCUUUGGGGGUCCUCGGGUGGCGAACGGGGGAGGAACACGUGAGUAACCUGCCCUUGACUUCGGGAUAACGUCAGGAAACUGGGGCUAAUGCCGGAUAGGAAUCCUUUCUGCAUGGGGGGGGUUGGAAAGCUUCGGCGGUUUUUGAUGUACUCGCGGGUUAGCAGCUUGUUGGUGUGGUAGUGGCUUACCAAGGCUUUUACGGGGAGCCGGCCUGAGGGGGCGACCGGCCACAUUGGGACUGAGAUACGGCCCAGACUCCUACGGGAGGCAGAAGUGGGGAAUAUUGACCAAUGGGCGGCAGCCUGAUGCAGAAACGCCGCGGGCGGGAUGACGGCCUUAGGGUUGUAAACCGCUUUCAGCAGGGGCGAAGCUUGUGGUGACGGUACCUGCAGAAGAAGCACCGGCUAACUACGUG